AACGAACGCUGGCGGCGCGCUUAACACAUGCAAGUCGAACGAGAAGGCGUAGCAAUACGCUUGUACAGUGGCGAACGGGUGAGUAACACGUGGGUGACCUACCCUCGAGUGGGGAAUAACCCGCCGAGAGGCGGGCUACUGCCGCGUACGCUUCCAGGUUUGCGGAUCUGGAAGGAAAGCCAUGCCGUGGGCAUGGCGCUCAAGGAUGGGCUCACGUCCUAUCAGCUUGUUGGUAGGGUAACGGCCUACCAAGGCAGCGACGGGUAGCUGGUCUGAGAGGACGAUCAGCCACACUGGCACUGCGACACGGGCCAGACUCCUACGGGAGGCAGCAGUGAGGAAUAUUGCGCAAUGGGCGAAAGCCUGACGCAGCGACGCCGCGUGGGGGAUGAAGGUCUUCGGAUUGUAAACCCCUUUCGGGAGGGAAGAUGGGACGGGCAACCGUUCGGACGGUACCUCCAGAAGCAGCCACGGCUAACUUCGUGCCAGCAGCCGCAGUAA
RNAcentral lists this ribosomal RNA (501 nucleotides) under uncultured bacterium. Its description in RNAcentral is "partial 16S ribosomal RNA". It matches the Rfam family "Bacterial small subunit ribosomal RNA", at positions 29 to 523 of the family's 1533-position model. The record is from RNAcentral.